RNAcentral lists this ribosomal RNA (936 nucleotides) under Staphylococcus saprophyticus. RNAcentral describes it as "bacterial SSU rRNA". It matches the Rfam family "Bacterial small subunit ribosomal RNA", at positions 42 to 957 of the family's 1533-position model. Lineage: Bacteria; Bacillati; Bacillota; Bacilli; Caryophanales; Staphylococcaceae. The record is from RNAcentral.
GCGUGCCUAAUACAUGCAAGUCGAGCGAACAGAUAAGGAGCUUGCUCCUUUGACGUUAGCGGCGGACGGGUGAGUAACACGUGGGUAACCUACCUAUAAGACUGGGAUAACUUCGGGAAACCGGAGCUAAUACCGGAUAACAUUUGGAACCGCAUGGUUCUAAAGUGAAAGAUGGUUUUGCUAUCACUUAUAGAUGGACCCGCGCCGUAUUAGCUAGUUGGUAAGGUAACGGCUUACCAAGGCGACGAUACGUAGCCGACCUGAGAGGGUGAUCGGCCACACUGGAACUGAGACACGGUCCAGACUCCUACGGGAGGCAGCAGUAGGGAAUCUUCCGCAAUGGGCGAAAGCCUGACGGAGCAACGCCGCGUGAGUGAUGAAGGGUUUCGGCUCGUAAAACUCUGUUAUUAGGGAAGAACAAAUGUGUAAGUAACUGUGCACGUCUUGACGGUACCUAAUCAGAAAGCCACGGCUAACUACGUGCCAGCAGCCGCGGUAAUACGUAGGUGGCAAGCGUUAUCCGGAAUUAUUGGGCGUAAAGCGCGCGUAGGCGGUUUCUUAAGUCUGAUGUGAAAGCCCACGGCUCAACCGUGGAGGGUCAUUGGAAACUGGGAAACUUGAGUGCAGAAGAGGAAAGUGGAAUUCCAUGUGUAGCGGUGAAAUGCGCAGAGAUAUGGAGGAACACCAGUGGCGAAGGCGACUUUCUGGUCUGUAACUGACGCUGAUGUGCGAAAGCGUGGGGAUCACACAGGAUUAGAUACCCUGGUAGUCCACGCCGUAAACGAUGAGUGCUAAGUGUUAGGGGGUUUCCGCCCCUUAGUGCUGCAGCUAACGCAUUAAGCACUCCGCCUGGGGAGUACGACCGCAAGGUUGAAACUCAAAGGGAAUUGACGGGGACCCGCACAAGCGGUGGAGCAUGUGGUUUAAUUUCGAAGC